GACAAUUUCAGUUGAUCUUGAUAUUUGCUUUUUAUUUUCAAAAGUUAAAAUGGGUUAAGCCAUAAAAAAUUUCUCUAUUAAUUCUGCAUGAAAUAACAGUUUAUGGAAAAUUUGUAUGGAAAUAAUCAGUUACUAAUUAACUAACUUCCAUAUCUUCUACAAUAUCUUUACUUUGUAACUUCAAAAUUUCAUCAUCAAUGCUAGCUAAGAAGCCAUCGUUGCAAUACUCAGUAACGAUUUUACUAAAGAAACUAUCAAAAGAAGUAACUUUUUUUUGAGAGCCAUUAAUUUUUUCAGGUAAGCUAAAGUAACCUUCAAACCUUGGAUAACCUAACAACAAUGACUGAGAAACUGUCAUUUUGCAUUGUUGAAUCAAACUGGAAAUACUACCUAGUUUUGAUUCAGAUUCAUUUAGCAGUUUUAAUAAACUUUUAAACAUUGAUUUCUGUGAUUCAAGUGCUUUAGAAACCUUUCUAAUCGAAGAAAGCAACUUUGACAAAGUUGAUCCCUUUCCAACACUCCUUGCAAUUAACGCUUGUAAACAACUUUCAAGUAAACUAAAGUCACUAAUCAUAGUAAUCAAUGUUUGUAAAAAUUGAAUCCCUUGAGUAAGCACAUUCAACAAAGAAAUUAAAUCAAGACAUGUAACUUCAAUAACUUUCCUGCUUGAACUGCUAAUACUAAACUUUUCAAGUUUUUUAGCUAGAUCAUCCAUGGUCUCUUCAAAAGUUUGUGAAUUCUGUCCCUGUCCUCUAUUACUACUAUCAUUUUUAGAAGACUUUUUACCUGAUUUCUUACUAGGUGCAUUGCUUUUAAGGGAUAGAGUCAAAAAACUUUGUGAAGAGAGAAAAUAAUUACGAGAGUUUCUUUCUAUUCCAACGAAGAUAGAAUCAUUGUGAGCAAUACUUGUAUAUAAUCUUCCAUUAUUAUUAAAGUUCAAAUUAUUAAUAUAUACUACUAUUGUAACUACCAACAAAAAAUACUUAUUGAAAUUCAUUUUCAAUAAAUAAGUAAUGCUAAUUUUUAUUCUAAUCUGUAAAAUAUGAGUUAUGAAAGCGUGUCUAAUUUUUCA
RNAcentral lists this non-coding RNA (1072 nucleotides) under Cryptosporidium parvum. Lineage: Eukaryota; Apicomplexa; Conoidasida; Eucoccidiorida; Cryptosporidiidae. The record is from RNAcentral.